CACUCCUACGGGAGGCAGCAGUGGGGAAUUUUGGACAAUGGGCGAAAGCCUGAUCCAGCCAUGCCGCGUGCAGGAUGAAGGCCUUCGGGUUGUAAACUGCUUUUGUACGGAACGAAACGGCCUUUUCUAAUAAAGAGGGCUAAUGACGGUACCGUAAGAAUAAGCACCGGCUAACUACGUGCCAGCAGCCGCGGUAAUACGUAGGGUGCAAGCGUUAAUCGGAAUUACUGGGCGUAAAGCGUGCGCAGGCGGUUAUGUAAGACAGUUGUGAAAUCCCCGGGCUCAACCUGGGAACUGCAUCUGUGACUGCAUAGCUAGAGUACGGUAGAGGGGGAUGGAAUUCCGCGUGUAGCAGUGAAAUGCGUAGAUAUGCGGAGGAACACCGAUGGCGAAGGCAAUCCCCUGGACCUGUACUGACGCUCAUGCACGAAAGCGUGGGGAGCAAACAGGAUUAGAUACCCUAGUAGUCCCA
RNAcentral lists this ribosomal RNA (472 nucleotides) under uncultured organism. RNAcentral's name for it is "partial 16S ribosomal RNA". It matches the Rfam family "Bacterial small subunit ribosomal RNA", at positions 334 to 797 of the family's 1533-position model. The record is from RNAcentral.